This 429-nucleotide ribosomal RNA is filed under the name Gemmatimonadota bacterium. RNAcentral describes it as "Gemmatimonadetes bacterium partial 16S ribosomal RNA". It matches the Rfam family "Bacterial small subunit ribosomal RNA", at positions 355 to 776 of the family's 1533-position model. The record is from RNAcentral. Lineage: Bacteria; Pseudomonadati; Gemmatimonadota.
UAGGGAAUCUUCGGCAAUGGACGUAAGUCUGACCGAGCAACGCCGCGUGAGUGAAGAAGGUUUUCGGAUCGUAAAACUCUGUUGUUAGAGAAGAACAAGGACGUUAGUAACUGAACGUCCCCUGACGGUAUCUAACCAGAAAGCCACGGCUAACUACGUGCCAGCAGCCGCGGUAAUACGUAGGUGGCAAGCGUUGUCCGGAUUUAUUGGGCGUAAAGCGAGCGCAGGCGGUUUCUUAAGUCUGAUGUGAAAGCCCCCGGCUCAACCGGGGAGGGUCAUUGGAAACUGGGAGACUUGAGUGCAGAAGAGGAGGGUGGAAUUCCAUGUGUAGCGGUGAAAUGCGUAGAUAUAUGGAGGAACACCAGUGGCGAAGGCGGCUCUCUGGUCUGUAACUGACGCUGAGGCUCGAAAGCGUGGGGAGCAAACAGG